Molecule: ribosomal RNA, 279 nt
Filed under: uncultured bacterium
Lineage: Bacteria
Description: partial 16S ribosomal RNA
Rfam family: Bacterial small subunit ribosomal RNA
Source: RNAcentral
UGCCAGCCGCCGCGGUAAGACGGAGGGUGCAAGCGUUGUUCGGAAUCACUGGGCAUAAAGAGCACGUAGGCGGCUGACUAAGUCGGAUGUGAAAGCCCUCGGCUCAACCGAGGAAUUGCAUCCGAUACUGGUCGGCUUGAGGAUAGCAGGGGUGAGUGGAACUCCAGGUGGAGCGGUGAAAUGCGUAGAUAUCUGGAGGAACACCGGUGGCGAAAGCGGCUCACUGGGCUAUCUCUGACGCUGAGAUGCGAAAGCGUGGGGAGCAAACAGGAUUAGAUA